CAAAUAAGGUCACAUUCUGAGGACUGGGGUUUCAGACUUCAGUGUGUCUUUUGAGGGGACAUGAUUCAACAACCCGUUACGGGCGUUUGUCAAAUUAUUCUCCAAAAAUUUUAAGAUGUCUUAAAUAUUGCAUUACACGAAAAGUCACAGAGAGGACUCCUCAGUAAGCCAAGCGCAGGAUUCCCACAGGACCAGCCAACCCGCUCCGGGGCGCCACCCAGAAGAACUGAAAGCAGGUGUUCAAACCCCUGUACACGCAUCACAGCAAGACUCACAGAAGCCAACAGGGGUGAAUCUUGAAAACCUGAUGCUCAGUGAAAGAUGCCGGCCAGCCACAAAAGACCGCACACGUGAGGCUCCGUUUAUACGAAACGACCAGAACAGGUAGGCUCCACACCCAGCAUGGGGCUUGAACUCAUGACCCCAAGAUCAGGAGUCACCAGCUCCACGGACUGAACGACCAGGUGUCCCUUGUUUUUUCUUAGCAACAUAAAGAUUUCUCAAUACCUAGCCCUCACUAGGGGGGCCUGGGUGGCUCAGUUGGUUAUGUGGUUAUGUGUCUAACUCUUGGUUUCAGCUUAGGUCAUGAUCUCAGGGUCAUGAGACGGAGCCCGGGGAAGGCCUCUGCACUCAGCACGGA
This is a long non-coding RNA of Ailuropoda melanoleuca (giant panda), 640 nucleotides long. RefSeq lists it as uncharacterized. The transcript has 3 exons. The record is from RefSeq and is a predicted model, not a curated record. Lineage: Eukaryota; Metazoa; Chordata; Mammalia; Carnivora; Ursidae.